RNAcentral lists this small RNA (125 nucleotides) under Marmota monax (woodchuck). Lineage: Eukaryota; Metazoa; Chordata; Mammalia; Rodentia; Sciuridae. The record is from RNAcentral.
GCUGGGCACAGUGGCUCAUGCCUGUAAUCCCAGCGGCUCGGGAGGCUGAGACAGGAGGAUCAUGAGUUCAAAGCUAGCCUCAGCAAUGGCAAAGCACUAAGCAACUCAGUGAGACCCUGUCUCUA